AUUUCCAUGGAAAUAAAUAGGAGGCAUUACUUUUGUAGUGACCUACAUGUAUUGUGUAGUGACCUGCAUUACUUUUGUAGUGACCUAGUAUAAGUUACAUAGGGUCAGAUAUUCUGAGUUGAAUGUAGACCUCCCUCAUGUUGCUUUGAUGACCCUGGGGAGUUGCAUAACUAAAUGCAAAGUUAGGCAUGAUUUGCACUCCAUCCUCAGCUAAGAGAGAUGCUACAUGGACAUGAUGAUUCACUUUGGCUGGAUCAGGCAAGUAUGAGAGGCAAAUGCAGAGUAAUAGCUCCACAUAAAAGGCCCUGUUGACAGAGAGAUGCAGUCCCUGCUGAAUCUUUGGGGAAGCACAAUUAUUUCCAAUAAACAGUCAGGACAGAGUCAUUGAGGGUAGGCAGAGGAGGUAGGAAAAUGCUAUCAGCUAUAGUCAUGUUCAAUUAGUGGCUGUAAAAGUGACAUCUGCUCUGCAUAUUCUACUUAGGAUCAGCACUGAGAGCACAGCUCAUCUAUUAACGCAUCUGACAAGCCACAGUUUAACCCACUUUCUCAGCAUCUUGCCCAGGAGAAUAGGUCAUUCUGCUUACUGCGAUAUUUUUUCAGCACAUUUUUCUACCAGUGCUGAGAAAGUGGUCAUAUUUCAGACAGGAAGGCCCAUUAACUUUUUUCAAACAGAGGCAAUUCUCUGCCUGACACACUAACCACAGCCAGUCAGCUCACUCAUUGCCCAGUGUGAGAUGGCACCUGCUCAUGCUACAGCUAAGUAGCAACUCCUGAUGGGUAGAAAGAAGAGGCUAAUUCGUAAAAAAAAGUGGUUCAACCAAACACAAAGUAGUUUCUGUUCUUUUAGAUAGUCCCUUGCCACAUAAACAGUUAAGAUGACUGCCUUGUACAGGAGUCCUGAAGUUCUCAUCCAGCUGAUAUUACACAUGAGCUGGAAAAAAACUUACUAGAGCAGGCUUUUUUCUGUUUAAAUGAAUAAGAAAUAAAAACAUUGUCUGAGCUGUUUGGAAAACUGUAUUUAGAAGUUCCAGUAGAUGGAAGUGGGAACAUAUGAACUAAAUAGUUAUGUGAUAUGCAGGCAAUUGGAGAAUGGAAACUUGAUGUGUCGUGACAAGAGUAGCAAAAACGUUUUAAGAGAGUGAUCAUUGCUAACUGCCUUGAUGCCUUUGCUUAUAUUUGGUAUCCCUUAGCACUGUUCCAACUAGAUCUUUCCUGUUUUGGAUUGUAUGUUCUACAGAGAGGCAUUUGUGUUUGGAUUUAUUAUUUGGAAAGCACCAUGCCUGGGACAGGGCAGCCAAUAAUGAGCAAAUAACUAAUGUGUUUUGGGAGCCUGUAACAGUAGCUGUACGGAAAAAUGGCAAGACUGCCUGGCUUGCACUGCUGUGAGCCUGUGCUGAGAGCUUCUGUACACAACACGUGGUCACUGGCUAAUGUUACCAGUGGUGACUGUGCAGAAUUGUGCACAGAGAGCUGAACUGCUAGGAGACAAGUAAGCGCCUUACACAAACAGAUCUCAGAGAAGCUUUUCCCCCUGCAGCCAUCAGACUCCUUCCCAGCCCCUCAGGCUGAUAAGACCUGCUUCUCUGACCCCAUUCUCAGGACUUUUUGCAACAGCAGAUCCUCAUGAUGCCAAGCUUGCAGGACAGUGGUCUCCCCGGGGCACCUUUUGUGUCCUGUUUCCUCUUCCUCACAAUCAGGAAACCCUGACCCACCACCCUGCACAUCCUGAAGAAGACCAUUAAGAUGAACACAGAUGGCAGCAGAGGGGCAGUCCGACAGAAUGGUGUCUGACAUGGAAGUGCCGGUGAAGAAAGGGUGUGGAACUGAAUUCCUCCAUGUGGAAAAAAUGGCACUCAUGACAUUCAUCGACUCUUGUGAACUGUUAUGGAGACCAAACAGCAGAUGUGAGGUGAUGGGCAGUAAGUUUCGGUAGUGGUGACAGCAGCAGUGGUUCACCUCUGCUGGUGUAAAUUUUAAUGUGUGCGGCAUGCAGGCUCUUGUUCAUCCUUGGAAAAAAUGUAUAGCUAAUGGUGGUGACUAUGUUGAAAAAUAUUGUUUUGUAGUUGAGAAUACUCUAUCAAAUAGUGCUACUGUGCUCUUUGUAUCUGUUGUGGUUUCCAUGGAAAUAAAUAGGAGGCAUCUCUUUCAGAGCAACCUACAUGCAUGCCUUUGCAAAUAUGGAUUCAAGUUAUUAAAUACUGUCUCAGAAUUUACUGAAAAAAAUUAUGAGAAUUUUUCCUAAGAAAGUAUAGCACUGUUAGCCUUGGUAUUAAUUAGGCUCAAAUCAGGAAAAGAUGGUUCUAUACAGUCCUUUCGAAAAUGAAUAUCUAAUCAUGCUCUGUGAGUGCUUAGUCUCAUAUGCUCUCAUAAUACAACAAGACAAACAUAUAUUAUUCAUCUUUCCAGAAUCUCAGCUGGUUUUGCUUUAAAUAAAGGACAGUAGAUGGAUGUCUAAGUCAACUGAGAAUUUAAUGUCAGAAUUUGUUUAGUUGGGCUCAAGCUCUUGACAAGAUCUAAAUAUAAACACAAUUAAAAGAGAAAUCUCUGAGA
This is a long non-coding RNA of Numida meleagris (helmeted guineafowl), 2550 nucleotides long. RefSeq lists it as uncharacterized. The record is from RefSeq and is a predicted model, not a curated record. Lineage: Eukaryota; Metazoa; Chordata; Aves; Galliformes; Numididae. The transcript is spliced from 3 exons.